Molecule: ribosomal RNA, 556 nt
Filed under: Kodamaea ohmeri
Lineage: Eukaryota; Fungi; Ascomycota; Pichiomycetes; Serinales; Debaryomycetaceae
Description: partial large subunit ribosomal RNA
Rfam family: Eukaryotic large subunit ribosomal RNA
Source: RNAcentral
GCGGAAGGGAGGUUUGCAUAUUCAAAUAGCUGAGGAAAAGAAACCAACAGGGAUUGCCUCAGUAACGGCGAGUGAAGCGGCAAAAGCUCAAAUUUGAAAUCCCCCCGGGGAGUUGUAAUUUGAAGAUUGCGUCUUGGAGGCGACCGUGUCUAUGUUCCUUGGAACAGGACGUCACAGAGGGUGAGAAUCCCGUGCGGCACGGCCCCCGGCUCCUUAUAAGGCGCUCUCGACGAGUCGAGUUGUUUGGGAAUGCAGCUCAAAGUGGGUGGUAAAUUCCAUCUAAAGCUAAAUACAGGCGAGAGACCGAUAGCGAACAAGUACAGUGAUGGAAAGAUGAAAAGCACUUUGAAAAGAGAGUGAAACAGCACGUGAAAUUGUUGAAAGGGAAGGGCAUGCCGUCAGAUUGUCAGUGUGGGUAAGAAGCGGGGUACAAAGACUGUGGAACGUGGCCCUCGGGUGUUAUAGCCGCAGUUCAUGCCCCGUCUCUUUCCGAGGCCUGCUUUGAGGACACCGACGUAAUGACGGUACGCCGCCCGUCUUAAAAACCGGAACCAAA